Molecule: ribosomal RNA, 271 nt
Filed under: uncultured bacterium
Lineage: Bacteria
Description: partial 16S ribosomal RNA
Rfam family: Bacterial small subunit ribosomal RNA
Source: RNAcentral
UACGUAGGAUGCGAGCGUUAAUCGGAAUUACUGGGCGUAAAGCGUGCGCAGGCGGUUGUAUAAGACAGAUGUGAAAUCCCCGGGCUCAACCUGGGAACUGCAUUUGUGACUGUAUAGCUAGAGUACGGCAGAGGGGGAUGGAAUUCCGCGUGUAGCAGUGAAAUGCGUAGAUAUGCGGAGGAACACCGAUGGCGAAGGCAAUCCCCUGGGCCUGUACCGACGCUCAUGCACGAAAGCGUGGGGAGCAAACAGGAUUAGAAAUCCUAGUAGU